GGAGUUACAAAGGACGACAUUAGACGAAUCAUCUGGAAAGAUGAAUCAAAGAAGGUAAUAAUCCUGUAGUCGAAAAUGUUGUCUCUCUUGAGUGGAUCCUGAGUACGACGGAGCACGUGAAAUUCCGUCGGAAUCUGGGAGGACCAUCUCCUAAGGCUAAAUACUCUCUAGUGACCGAUAGUGAACCAGUACCGUGAGGGAAAGGUGAAAAGCACCCCGGAAGGGGAGUGAAAUAGAACCUGAAACCGUGUGCUUACAAGUAGUCAGAGCCCGUUAAUGGGUGAUGGCGUGCCUUUUGUAGAAUGAACCGGCGAGUUACGAUUUGAUGCAAGGUUAAGCAGUAAAUGUGGAGCCGUAGCGAAAGCGAGUCUGAAUAGGGCGUUUAGUAUUUGGUCGUAGACCCGAAACCAGGUGAUCUACCCUUGGUCAGGUUGAAGUUCAGGUAACACUGAAUGGAGGACCGAACCGACUUACGUUGAAAAGUGAGCGGAUGAACUGAGGGUAGCGGAGAAAUUCCAAUCGAACCUGGAGAUAGCUGGUUCUCUCCGAAAUAGCUUUAGGGCUAGCCUCAAGUGAUGAUUAUUGGAGGUAGAGCACUGUUUGGACGAGGGGCCCCUCUCGGGUUACCGAAUUCAGACAAACUCCGAAUGCCAAUUAAUUUAACUUGGGAGUCAGAACAUGGGUGAUAAGGUCCGUGUUCGAAAGGGAAACAGCCCAGACCACCAGCUAAGGUCCCAAAAUAUAUGUUAAGUGGAAAAGGAUGUGGCGUUGCCCAGACAACUAGGAUGUUGGCUUAGAAGCAGCCAUCAUUUAAAGAGUGCGUAAUAGCUCACUAGUCGAGUGACACUGCGCCGAAAAUGUACCGGGGCUAAACAUAUUACCGAAGCUGUGGAUUGUCCUUUGGACAAUGGUAGGAGAGCGUUCUAAGGGCGUUGAAGCAUGAUCGUAAGGACAUGUGGAGCGCUUAGAAGUGAGAAUGCCGGUGUGAGUAGCGAAAGACGGGUGAGAAUCCCGUCCACCGAUUGACUAAGGUUUCCAGAGGAAGGCUCGUCCGCUCUGGGUUAGUCGGGUCCUAAGCUGAGGCCGACAGGCGUAGGCGAUGGAUAACAGGUUGAUAUUCCUGUACCACCUAUAAUCGUUUUAAUCGAUGGGGGGACGCAGUAGGAUAGGCGAAGCGUGCGAUUGGAUUGCACGUCUAAGCAGUAAGGCUGAGUAUUAGGCAAAUCCGGUACUCGUUAAGGCUGAGC
Molecule: ribosomal RNA, 1247 nt
Filed under: Staphylococcus aureus
Lineage: Bacteria; Bacillati; Bacillota; Bacilli; Caryophanales; Staphylococcaceae
Description: partial 23S ribosomal RNA
Rfam family: Bacterial large subunit ribosomal RNA
Source: RNAcentral